CAGUCGCCGCGGGAAAACGAAGGGUGCAAGCGUUACUCGGAAUUACUGGGCGUAAAGCGUGCGUAGGUGGUGGUUUAAGUCCGUUGUGAAAGCCCUGGGCUCAACCUGGGAAUUGCAGUGGAUACUGGAUCACUAGAGUGUGGUAGAGGAUAGUGGAAUUUCCGGUGUAGCAGUGAAAUGCGUAGAGAUCGGAAGGAACAUCUGUGGCGAAGGCGACUAUCUGGGCCAACACUGACACUGAGGCACGAAAGCGUGGGGAGCAAACAGGAUUAGAUACCCCUGUAGUCCCUGUCUCUUAUCC
This 301-nucleotide ribosomal RNA is filed under the name uncultured bacterium. RNAcentral's name for it is "partial 16S ribosomal RNA". It matches the Rfam family "Bacterial small subunit ribosomal RNA", at positions 509 to 809 of the family's 1533-position model. The record is from RNAcentral.